GUGCAUGGCGCAGCUACACAUGCAAGUCGAACGGCAGCACAGCAGUAGCAAUACUGUGGGUGGCGAGUGGCGGACGGGUGGGGAACACAUCGGAAUCUACCCUGUCGUGGGGGAUAACGUAGGGAAACUUACGCUAAUACCGCAUACGACCUAUGGGUGAAAGCGGCGGACCGCAAGGCGUCGCGCGACUGGAUGAGCCGAUGUCCGAUUAGCUAGUUGGCGGGGUAAUGGCCCACCAAGGCGACGAUCGGUAGCUGGUCUGAGAGGAUGAUCAGCCACACUGGAACUGAGACACGGUCCAGACUCCUACGGGAGGCAGCAGUGGGGAAUAUUGGACAAUGGGCGCAAGCCUGAUCCAGCCAUGCCGCGUGUGUGAAGAAGGCCUUCGGGUUGUAAAGCACUUUUGUUGGGGAAGAAAAGCACUGGGUUAAUACCUUGGUGUUCUGACGGUACCCAAAGAAUAAGCACCGGCUAACUUCGUGCCAGCAGCCGCGGUAAUACGAAGGGUGCAAGCGUUACUCGGAAUUACUGGGCGUAAAGCGUGCGUAGGUGGUGAGUUAAGUCUGUCGUGAAAGCCCCGGGCUCAACCUGGGAAUGGCGAUGGAUACUGGCUCGCUAGAGUGCGGUAGAGGAGAGUGGAAUUCCCGGUGUAGCAGUGAAAUGCGUAGAGAUCGGGAGGAACAUCAGAUGCGAACGCGUCUCUCUGGACCAGCACUGACACUGAAGCACGAUGGCGUGCGGAGCAAACACGAUUAGAUACUCUGCUAGCCACGCCCUACACGAUGCCGAACUGGACGUUGAGAGUAAUCGGGCUCAUAAUGAAGAUCUCACGCCCUAAGUCGAUGUCUGAAGAGUACGGUCGAAAGUCUGAAAAUCGAGGGAUUGACUCGCGCCAGAACAAACAGAUGGAAUAAGUGAUGAUGGAAUGCAUCCUAUAGUACCUGACAGGGCGUGUCCGCCCGCAGGAAUUCCAUUCAGAUGCUGCAUUA
Molecule: ribosomal RNA, 989 nt
Filed under: uncultured bacterium
Lineage: Bacteria
Description: bacterial SSU rRNA
Rfam family: Bacterial small subunit ribosomal RNA
Source: RNAcentral